Molecule: ribosomal RNA, 249 nt
Filed under: uncultured organism
Description: partial 16S ribosomal RNA
Rfam family: Bacterial small subunit ribosomal RNA
Source: RNAcentral
UGGGGAAUCUUAGACAAUGGGGGCAACCCUGAUCCAGCAAUGCCGCGUGUGUGAAGAAGGCCUUCGGGUUGUAAAGCACUUUUGGCGGGAACGAACCGGUCUUCUUUCAUACAGAGGGCUAAUGACGGUACCGGAAGAAUAAGCACCGGCUAACUACGUGCCAGCAGCCGCGGGAAUACGUAGGGGGCGAGGGGUGAGCGGAAUUACUGGGCUGAAAGCGGGCGCAGGCGGGUUUAUAAGCCAGGGGGG